RNAcentral lists this ribosomal RNA (503 nucleotides) under uncultured bacterium. Its description in RNAcentral is "partial 16S ribosomal RNA". It matches the Rfam family "Bacterial small subunit ribosomal RNA", at positions 29 to 523 of the family's 1533-position model. The record is from RNAcentral.
AACGAACGCUGGCGGCACGUUUUAAGCAUGCAAGUCGAAUGGCAGUGGGGGCAACCCCAUGAGAAUGGCGAACGGGUGAGUAACACGUAGGUGAUCUGCCUGACGGAUGGGGAUAGCUUGUGGAAACACAGGGUAAUACUGAAGGAGCUGAUGAUGCUUUGGUUUUGUUAGUAAAGGUGCUACGGCACCGCCGACGGAGGAGCCUGCGGCGGAUUAGCUAGUUGGUGGGGUAAAGGCCUACCAAGGCGACGAUCAGUAGCCGGCCUGAGAGGGUGUACGGCCACACUGGAACUGAGACACGGUCCAGACUCCUACGGGAGGAAGCAGCUAAGAAUCUUCCGCAAUGGGCGAAAGCCUGACGGAGCGAUGCCGCGUGAUCGAUGAAGGUCGAGAGAUUGUAAAGAUCUUUUCUACAUGAGGAAUAAGUCUGGGAGGGAAUGCCUGGAUGAUGACGUUAGUGUAGGAAUAAGCCCCGGCUAAUUACGUGCCAGCCGCCGCGGUAA